AUUGAACGCUGGCGGCAGGCUUAACACAUGCAAGUCGAGCGGGGUGAUGGUGCUUGCACUAUCACUUAGCGGCGGACGGGUGAGUAAUGCUUAGGAUUCUGCCUAUUAGUGGGGGACAACAUCUCGAAAGGGAUGCUAAUACCGCAUACGUCCUACGGGAGAAAGCAGGGGAUCACUUGUGACCUUGCGCUAAUAGAUGAGCCUAAGUCGGAUUAGCUAGUUGGUGGGGUAAAGGCCUACCAAGGCGACGAUCUGUAGCGGGUCUGAGAGGAUGAUCCGCCACACUGGGACUGAGACACGGCCCAGACUCCGACGGGAGGCAGCAGUGGGGAAUAUUGGACAAUGGGGGGAACCCUGAUCCAGCCAUGCCGCGUGUGUGAAGAAGGCCUUAUGGUUGUAAAGCACUUUAAGCGAGGAGGAGGCUUACCUAGUUAAUACCUGGGAUAAGUGGACGUUACUCGCAGAAUAAGCACCGGCUAACUCUGUGCCAGCCGCCGCCGUAA
RNAcentral lists this ribosomal RNA (503 nucleotides) under uncultured bacterium. RNAcentral's name for it is "partial 16S ribosomal RNA". It matches the Rfam family "Bacterial small subunit ribosomal RNA", at positions 30 to 523 of the family's 1533-position model. The record is from RNAcentral.